AUGUUAUCAAGAAAGGUAGAGGGAAUAGACCCGUUGAAACCUUGGCAACCCUUUAUCAGCCCUGAUGCCUAUCGGGGUAUUAAAGAAGGUGCUACGUUCUACUAAUAUUUUAUAGUAUUAGAAAGAUAACGA
Molecule: non-coding RNA, 132 nt
Filed under: Pseudalgibacter alginicilyticus
Lineage: Bacteria; Pseudomonadati; Bacteroidota; Flavobacteriia; Flavobacteriales; Flavobacteriaceae
Description: Algibacter alginicilyticus SAM-I sequence
Rfam family: SAM riboswitch aptamer (S box leader)
About the family: The SAM riboswitch is found upstream of a number of genes which code for proteins involved in methionine or cysteine biosynthesis in Gram-positive bacteria. The SAM riboswitch acts at the level of transcription termination control. The predicted structure consists of a complex stem-loop region followed by a single stem loop terminator region.
Source: Rfam by way of RNAcentral